UGGUCAAGUUAUUAAGGGUGCAGGGCGGAUGCCUUGGCACUAGGAGCCGAUGAAGGACGUGAUAAGCUGCGAUAAGCUUCGGGGAGUUGCACGUAAACUUUGAUCCGAAGAUUUCCGAAUGAGGAAACUCACUUAGAGUAAUGUCUAAGUAUCAUUAAGUGAAUACAUAGCUUAAUGAGGGGAACUCAGGGAACUGAAACAUCUAAGUACCUGAAGGAAGAGAAAGAAAUUCGAUUCCGUAAGUAGCGGCGAGCGAACGCGGAUUAGCCCAAACCAA
RNAcentral lists this ribosomal RNA (277 nucleotides) under Clostridioides difficile. Its description in RNAcentral is "partial 23S ribosomal RNA". It matches the Rfam family "Bacterial large subunit ribosomal RNA", at positions 1 to 277 of the family's 2925-position model. The record is from RNAcentral. Lineage: Bacteria; Bacillati; Bacillota; Clostridia; Peptostreptococcales; Peptostreptococcaceae.